Cricetulus griseus (Chinese hamster) is the source of this 4492-nucleotide non-coding RNA. Lineage: Eukaryota; Metazoa; Chordata; Mammalia; Rodentia; Cricetidae. The record is from RefSeq and is a predicted model, not a curated record.
CCUGGUAGCUUCAGGUGGGCUUUGAAUUUGGGAUCCUCCUGCCUCAGUACCCUGAGUGCUGGGAUUAUAAGCCUGUUGCUGUUUUCAGUGUGCUAUUUUCAUUUCUUAGUCAAAUGACAGCUUCUAUUUAGUGCUUUUAGGAUGGCUUAUAAUAGAAUUAUGGGUUUCAUUGUGCUGGGGAAGGCUUUCAGCAUGCAACCAUGCUAUGGUUUACAAUUACAAAACCAUCUUCAGUUAGUUCCUUGGGAAGAUUUGUUGGAGAUUUUACUUGCUCAUAAUAGGGUAACUUUCCCUAGUUGUCGAUGUUGCUUGACUUUCUUCUCCUGUGGGAAAAAAUUUAAAAAAUAGAAAUUUGGGAUAUCCAUACACAUUUGUGCUCUUAAAAAAUUAUUUACUAAGAUUCUAAAAACUUUGUAGACUCUAGUUGAAAUAGCAAAAAAUGUUCAGUCUACUUUAAAGUCCUUUCUUGAUGAUAUCUAAAAGCAACCCAGUGACAUUUUGAGAUAGUAUGAAGAUGAAUUGUGUUUUGGGGAGAGAGGGUAAGGUUAUAUUUCUCCAAUACAACUAGUCAGACCAGUUCUAACAGAAUAAAGUUAAAGAACUCUUAAAGCUUUGUCAAGAAGGGGGGUGGGAUUUUAAUGCUUUACAUGUAUUCUAAGGGAACAUUGGUAACAUUUAUUAGGGUAUGGUGAUACUGAAAUAAAUGGACAGUAGAGGAGUUCAGUUAUGUUGGGAGAAGUUUUGGGUUAGUUGACCAAGACCUUGAGUUGUUUUGAAAGCUGAUUCAAGGGAGGUAGAUGAAGGUAGUCAGUGGCCAGUCAUAUAUGGGAUUCCAACUCAAGAGGUCAGAUUUGAAAAACAUACUCGAAGACUAGUUGGUGGUAAUUAGAGCAAGUUCCUGUGGAGAACUAAGCAGAAACAGCUGGGAAGCACCCGCAUGUAAGGAAUGAGUAGAAGCUGGUGGUAGAAACCCGUAGUAAGAGCAGUAGUCUUCAACAGUGCAGUACUCCCACUCCAGAAAUAAGCAGAGAGAACCUGGUCACUGGGUCAGAUACUGCAAAGAGCAGAAGUCUAGUAACUGUUAGAUUUAGGAGUUGUCAAGAACCUGUCAAGACAGUUGUUGUGAACCAUUGGGAACUGCAGUGUGAUAUUGUGCAAGUUGAGUUGGGUUGGAAAGAAGUAAACAGUAAUGGCUCUGAGUAUGGAGGAUGAAAGCUAUGAAGCUGCAAUGGAAUUUUGUAAAAACAAAAAUAUGUUGGGAACAUUUAUUCAUUUGUAUAUUUGAUUUUUGUUGCUUUCAAGUAUCUUGUAUGCCUUGGUAACUUCAUCAUAUACUUUAUACCAGAAAGUGGUGAUUGCGUGUUUGUGUGUGUGUUCACUUGAAGACAGGUGACAACCCUCCCUACCCCUACCCCUCAACCCCCCCCACCCCGUUUGUGUUUCCCAGGCAUCAUCUGUUUUUUUGUUUUGUUUUGUUUUUGAGACAGUAUCUCUCACUGGCCUGGAACUGGCCAAGUAAGCUAGGCUAGCUGGCCAGUGAUCCUCAAGGAUCUGCCUAUCUCUAUUUCCCAGCACUAGGAUUACAAGCAUCUGCCACUAUGCUCAGAUUUUAGGUCCUUGUACAAACUUUACUGAACUGUCUCUCUAGCCCCCAUUUCUGUUUUACGACUUCAUCAAUGGAACUCUUAAAGGUGGUUUUUAAAGGCUUGACCUGUUUGAUGCUUGUUAAAGGGACAAACAGGGAGGAAUUGGAGGCCUAUCCCCCAUGCCAAGGUUGAACCCAGACCCUUCUUCAUGCUGGAUAACUGAGAUGUCCCUCUUCUAGAACUUGACUUUCCUCCAGUGCUCUGUCCCCUUCACUUAGAAGAGUGUCUGACACAUGGAAGACAUAAAUUCCUUAAAGUGGAAAAACUGAAGGGAAGAUGCUCUCAUCAGAAACAAUUACAAAGAACCAGCUGGUGAGGUGGUUAGGUGGGUAAAGAUGCUUUCCAUCAAGGCUGCUGAGAUGGGGACUUGAGUUUGAUAUCUGGAACUCGGUGAGUUGUCAGGGGCUUGGUGGUUAAGAGCGUCAGCUGCUUUUAGAGAGGACCUGGGUUUAAUUUCCAGCAUUCACAUGGUGGCUCAUAACCCUUGAAACUCCAGUCAAUCUAAAGGGAUCUGACACUUCCUGGCCUCUGGGCACCAGACCGGCAAGUGGUGUAUAGACAUACAUUCGGGUGAAACACUAUGUUCUGCUUAGUUUUAUAUCAUCCUGACAUGAGCUAGAGUAAUCUGAUAGGAGGGAACCUCAGUUGAGAAAAUGGCUCCAUAAGAUCCAGCUGUAAGGCAUUUUCUUAAUUAGUGAUUGUUGUGGGAGGACUUAGCCCUUAGUGGGUGGUACUAUCCUAGUCUGGUGGCCUGGGUUCUAUAAGAAAGCUGCCUGAGCAAAGCCAUAGGAGCAAACCAUUAAGCAGGACCUCUUCAUAGCCUCUGCAUCAGCUCCUGCAUUCAGGCUCCUGCCCUGUUUGAGUUCUCAUUCUGAUUUCCUUCAAUGAACAGUGCUGUGGAAGUGUAACCCAAAUAAAUUCUUUCCUCCUAAGUUUCUUUAGCCAUUUUUUUUUAAACAGCAAUAGUAACCCUAACUAAGACACACCCAUACAUAAAAUUUACAAAAAGGAAAAAAGAACCUUUAUGGAGUUAACAUGUUAUAUACUAAUUUUGAGUUACUUAAGGAAAUUAUUUAAAUAUUUCUUUGCACAUGUCCUGCCAUUCAGUUGUUUAAAAAGUAAAUAUGGUAGCAUUUAUGUAGAUCAUAAACCACAAUAUUUUGAUAGGGAAAGGGGUUAGAGGGCUGUAAAGUAAAAGGCCAGUAUUAAGGUAAUGGGAAAAAUAUAAACAUCUCUGGAAAUUGCUUGAGUCAGUUUGUUUGAAAAUGCUUUAUAUUGAAAGCAGUUAAUACUGGUCAACAGUCUCUUCUAAAUCUGUGCUUUCUGUAACUUUCUCCACUAUGUUUCUGGUGUGUUAUAAGGCACAUAUUCAUGUGUGUGUAAGGGAUUAUGUUUGCCCAUACUCAUGUGUUAAGGCAAGAGGUAGACAUUGGGUGUCCUCCAUCACUCUGCACCUGAUUUAUUUCACAGAAUUUAGAGCUCACUUUUUCCACUAGAGUGGCCUGUGAGCAUCUAGAAUUUGCUUCUAUGAGCACUGGAGUUACAGACCUGUGCUUCUGUGCCCAUGUCUCAGAACAUGGCUAGGGUCCACAUAGAGGUUCACAUGCUAGUACGGCAAGCGUUUUACCUGCUAGGCCAGUUCCCAGGCUCCACUAGCUCCCUGUUUUGAUAGUGUAUUUAUAUGUUUAAAAGACAUGCAUGCUUAUAUGCUCAUUGGCUUUAUUUAAUACAUUAUGAAUAGGUCACUCUAGUGACUUUUUUCUUUCCUUGUUCUAUUAGGAGACAGCAUGUGCUUUGUAUAUGUGAGUAGCGUGUGGGAGCUCUUCAUAACUAUUUUCUAGGGUCACAAUAAAUUAAUCUUUUAUGUCUAAGUUAUUUUGAGUCACAGUAGCUUUCUAUUUCUGAGUUUGUGUCUUAAAGGUAGACAUUUUAAUUAAUUUUAUAAGUAGAGUUGGAGUUUGCUUCCCUAUCUUAGUCUACUGGGGCUCCAUAACAAAACUCCAUAAACAAAGUGCUCUAUAAUCAACAGUCAUUUGCCCUGUAUUGAGUCUGGAAAUUCUGGGUCAAGAAACUAGCAGAUUCAGUGUCUGAUGGGGGUUCAAAGAUACCUUGGUUCAGACUGUGCCUACAGUGUAAAGGCUGUAGGACCUCUCUUGUGAGGGUACUAUUUUCAUUCAUGAGGGCUCUAUCCUUAGGACUUAAUGAAUUCUCAACAUCCUGCCUGCCCCAUCCCACUUUAUCACCUCUCUUAGUCCCCACCCUGCCUGGUGGGUGAGGAUUUCACUAAUAUAUUUUGAGGAAAUACUCAGGCCAAAGCACUUAUACCAUGUAAAGAAAAAUUAAGCAAAACUGAAUAAAACAAGCAAAAAACCUUUCCCUGACAUUCUAGUUACAUCAUAGAAACCUAACGAUUGUUUUAACUAAUGAAAAUAGGAAUGUGCCAUAGUGUCACAUGUCUUGACAAACCCUGAGUUCUAUAUACAUUGUUUAAUAAAAAGGCUUAUGAGGGAAAAAGAAUGGGGUAAACUCAAAAAUCCAUGUAACUAAAAAAAUCAGUGAAAGAUUGGCAUUUGUACCAUCUUUUACAGUCAGUCUUCAGAGUCUUUCUCUCUAGAUAGCUAAGUCAUAGAAGAACAUUAAUCCUAAAAGGCUAUCUUCAGCUGGGUGGUGGUGGCACAACCCUUUAAUCCCAGCACUCUGGAGGCAGAGGCAAGCGGGUCUCUGUGAGUUGAGACCAGCCUGUUUUACAAAGCUACACAGAGAAACUCACCAAAAAAAAAAAAAAAAAAAAGCUAUCUUUGCUAAAAUUACAAUCUGGUUUGGGGGUAAGUGUAGAUGUGGUUCAA